CUACACACGUCAUACAAUGGCCGGUACAGGAGGGUAGACCCAACCCGCGAGGGGGAGCCCAAUCCCACAAAGCCGGUCGUAGUCCGGAUCGCAGUCUGCAACUCGACUGCGUGAAGUCGGAAUCGCUAGUAAUCGCGGAUCAGCAUGUCGCGGUGAAUACGUUCCCGGGUCUU
This 173-nucleotide ribosomal RNA is filed under the name uncultured Allobrachymonas sp. Its description in RNAcentral is "uncultured Brachymonas sp. partial 16S ribosomal RNA". It matches the Rfam family "Bacterial small subunit ribosomal RNA", at positions 1214 to 1382 of the family's 1533-position model. Lineage: Bacteria; Pseudomonadati; Pseudomonadota; Betaproteobacteria; Burkholderiales; Comamonadaceae. The record is from RNAcentral.